ACCAAUUUGCAACUAGCUAGCCAACACCUUCAAACGUCAUGGACCGACCUGGUCAAAUGGAUCAAGUGGUUCUCUAGUUCUGCCGGCCGCUGGUGCACUGGGGCAAGGUACACCGAUCGACCGAUAGUGGUGGCGGGAGUAAAUCUCAUUCAUAAAAUUCAGCCCCAAUCUUUGGCAAAGAUUGUCCUCGAUCUCGACACCACCCGGACCAAUGGACACAGGCACACUGCCUGGGGUUGGCAGCACUGGCUGAAUUUAGAUCAAUCGGUUUUCACCCCGCAGUGAGCAGCAGCGAGCAGCGGCGAGUGGCGAAGGAAACGCGGGAGAAGAGAAAAAAACCAGGCUAACCGGGUCAGAGACCCAGCCGCAUGCCGGCCACAAUUGCUGGGCGGUUCGUCAUCGUGCGGAAUUUAUGAAUGAAUGAUUUAAAAAUAGCACGUACAGAGCACGCUCGCCGUUUGCCGAAUGUGUGUGUGCGGUGCCUGGUGGGGAUCUGGUUGAUAAACGGACUGCAACCGGCAGCAAACCCCGUAGACUGUCGUGUGGGUGGACGUUUCUCCAUCUGCAAUUCGAUUUCACACCCGCGGGGUAAUGAGCACCGCCUGGACAGCAAGCCAACCGUCCUAAGCCAGCGUCGAACACCAACCGGGUAUGUUUUGUCAAAAGCGAACACGAGACACGCCGGAAAGACCGGAAUUUGGGGAGCAGAAGAAAGAAAGAGGAGUAAAAACUCCCCCUCAAAUGUGAAGCAGAAACGGUCAAAGUGAAAGGAAAGCAGACCUACCGUGUUCUAGAAAAAGCAUGGCCGGAUCGAUGGCCAUCUCCGGCAGCAGCUUUCCGGAAUGAAUGCAGGGGAUGCUGGCAGCAUUGGAGCAUUGAGAAUGCAGCUGGCAGAGCGAUUGUGGUACCGAACUUUACGCAACGCACACCGGCAACGUUCUCGAAGAUGCGAUUGCGGAGGUGGUCCAAAUAAGUAACGCAAAUAAAUCACCGCAUCUUGGGUUGCGAUGCCAACAUCUUCGCUAUCGACGUGACGCGGCACCGCUACCGAGAUAGUUUGUGUUGACGCCUACAGUACGUGUUUGAGCUCCAUUUCGCUAGCACUUCUUUGACUUAAAUGCAAAGUUUGUUCGGAAAAAUACAAAAUUCCAACACCCGAUUCCAGGGCAACUUCAGCCGCAGUGCUUCAGUCUUUGCACUCUUCGCAUCGGGGCAGAGUCAAUUGCCCCCGGGGCCGUUGAGACCGUUUAUGGCGUUCAUUUAGUCUCGGCAUAGGAUGACCGAACGUUGGGCGGCGUUAGCAACCGAAAAAUAUAAAUAUAUCCCCUACACAUAUCCGGUGCACGGUUCCGAUGACGCAUCGUCGCCCGGUUCCCGGAGCCGAAAAUGACGUAAGUGUGUAAAGUGUGCUAGCACACUGGCUGCCCACGUAAUCAGGCAGGGCUUAUGGGGCCAACACCCGCCCCCCUUCCUCCAUUGGGCCCACGAGUGUACCGUUCGUGAAGCCUAAUACCUUGGCCCUGCAUGCGCCAAGCUGGUCACGAACUACUUACGCGUUUAGACGGUACGGGCUGGUGAUAAGUUGGCAAAAAAUAGGAAUUGAGUGAGAGGGAUUGAGUGAGAGAGAGAGAGAACAAAAAAAAAGAAUUGGAACAGAAGCAAAUUGUAACCGAACCGGGUGGGUUGUUUGAAGAGAAGUAAAAAAAAACAACACCACCGAGAGGCUUACAAGCGCCACCCUUAUCGGCAGGAUGACGCCGGCAUCAUAAUCCGACACGACUGUGGCGUCGUCAAUCGUCAACAUACACACAUUCACAUCCGUCACCCGUCGCACAGCUGGAAGUGACUGGCCGCAAAUGGAGCAGAACGGAGUGAAAUCGAUACACAGGCGCUUUGGAGUCGCGCUUUGGAGACGACGGACCUCACUUACGUCAGGUCAGAAGAAGCCAUGAAGUGUACGUGUCUUCCCUUUUGGGCCAGCGUGUGGGAAUGGGUCACACAGUAAGACUAGCAACCCCCAUCCACGGUGAGCCUAGUUUCAUUCUUUUUGUUUUGCUUUUGCUGGUGCUGACCGUCAUUUACAGACUUGUAGGUGAAAAGUUCUGAACCACAUUUGCUCAAGUAUUCCAUUAGAAGAGAGCCUCCGAGGACAUGGCCGGAUCGAUGUCAAUGGUGGUACCGUCUGGCCGGAGGCUACCGCUUAUGAAAAGAGACACUCACGUUAGAUUGAGUUGUCGGUAUCAGGGUGUGUAACGGUCUGUUAAAGUUUGCGAUCCAAUGGAGAUACUGGACGAGCGUUACCAGUGUUUGCAACAUUUUAUUGUACGAUGUGCUUUCCGUUUCCGAGCUGCCGCAAGUGAAGGUGCCAGACUUCAUAAUGAUAGCAAUAAUCCCCAAAUAAAUAAAUAAAAAAUAACAACACAUCCACAGAACCAUGAGCAUCUGGAAUGUGCUCGGUACGAUUUACUUCAUGCGGGGCGUUUCUGCUGCCCCUCCCUCCCACCUAUUAGCUGUGUGCAAUUUGAUGCUCGGGGUUUGGUGAAGCACUUCCGGGGCGUAUUUAGACCUUGAAACGCUCCGUGCCCGAACCUAGCAGGCUGGGCUAUUGAUUUUGUGCUGGCAAAGUGGCGAAAACUAUUGCGCAUCAAAAGUGGACCACAAUCGAUGAGCUGUUGCUAAUUUCUGCGCAACAUUUUGCGCCACGCAUUAGGUUUGGAAUGCGUGCGGCAGUGGCUUCGUGCGAAUGAGUGGAGUAGUUGGAAAGAAGGUAUGAACACGCAUCGAUACGGUGGUGAGCUAACUUGGAAAGACAAAACAUUAGUAUGCGAUGUGUAAAUUUUAGAAACGAUCAUCAAUAAACGAGCUCACGUGAAGCUCUGUGAAUUUGGACAUUUUACCAAACCUAUUUCACAAUGUCUUAGAUAGGCUUAAAAUAAGUUGUUACUUUUUCAGUCAAACUCAAUUGAACUGAACAUCUUCAACUAUAAGUGUGUACAAAAAUCAAUACCAUAGCAGCUUAGAUUCGGGCACACCUCUCCAAAACUCCCAACAAACCCCACCUGAAGCUGCAAACGACCGUUGCACCAGCCAUGAACAGCCUACGCUCGGAUCACUUCGGCUUUGCGAGGGACUCUUUUCGUAAAUUCUACAUGCACAUGAUAAAUAAUGUAUUUCACGACACGACUAUUAUACCUUUUCGUUAAGAUUUGUCUAACAGAAACAUAAACAUAAAUUAAAAAUUAAACUUAGUUCAAACAGAAAAAUAAGGUCAAAAAAUCUUGAAGAACGUGUGAAGUUUAAACAUGGAAUUAGAUAAAAAGAAGCAACAUUUGCCUCGUGCACCUUGUAUUACCUUGUAGAACCACUGCUACACUUGAAUAAUGUCUAUAGAAAGACAUCUUCAGUGGAAUAGAUCCACUCUGUAUUCCUAGCCUAUAUUACACGAUUUCGACUAACAGGUUGGCUGAUAAGUCCCCGGUCUGACACAUAGAUGGCGCUGCUAGUAUUAAAAGCAUAUUAUUUUUAUAUAGUACCAACCUUCAAAUGAUUCGUGUCAAAAUUUGACGUCUGUAUGUCAAUUAGUUUGUGAGACAGAGCGUUUUUUGUCAAGCAACUUUAGUUAUUUUG
Molecule: long non-coding RNA, 3627 nt
Organism: Anopheles gambiae (African malaria mosquito)
Lineage: Eukaryota; Metazoa; Arthropoda; Insecta; Diptera; Culicidae
Exons: 2
Source: RefSeq, a predicted model, not a curated record